GACUUAUACCUAUCUGUUGCCUCGGCGCAGGCCGGCCUCUUCACUGAGGCCCCCUGGAAACAGGGAGCAGCCCGCCGGCGGCCAACUAAACUCUUGUUUCUAUAGUGAAUCUCUGAGUAAAAAACAUAAAUGAAUCAAAACUUUCAACAACGGAUCUCUUGGUUCUGGCAUCGAUGAAGAACGCAGCGAAAUGCGAUAAGUAAUGUGAAUUGCAGAAUUCAGUGAAUCAUCGAAUCUUUGAACGCACAUUGCGCCCUCUGGUAUUCCGGAGGGCAUGCCUGUUCGAGCGUCAUUUCAACCCUCAAGCCUGGCUUGGUGAUGGGGCACUGCCUUCUAACGAGGGCAGGCCCUGAAAUCUAGUGGCGAGCUCGCUAGGACCCCGAGCGUAGUAGUUAUAUCUCGUUCUGGAAGGCCCUGGCGGUGCCCUGCCGUUAAACCCCCAACUUCUGAAAAUUUGACCUCGGAUCAGGUAGGAAUACCCGCUGAACUUAAGCAUAUCAAUAAGCGGAGGAA
Molecule: ribosomal RNA, 513 nt
Filed under: Diaporthe sp. C21
Lineage: Eukaryota; Fungi; Ascomycota; Sordariomycetes; Diaporthales; Diaporthaceae
Description: eukaryotic LSU rRNA
Rfam family: 5.8S ribosomal RNA (bases 139-292)
Source: RNAcentral